GGCCGCACGCGCGCUACACUGACGGGGUCAGCGAGUUCCUUGGCCGAAAGGCCCGGGUAAUCUUGUUAGCCCCCCGUCGUGCUGGGGAUAGAGCAUUGCAAUUAUUGCUCUUCAACGAGGAAUCCCUAGUAAGCGCAAGUCAUCAGCUUGCGUUGAUUACGUCCCUGCCCUUUGUACACACCGCCCGUCGCUACUACCGAUUGAAUGGCUCAGUGAGGCGUCCGGACUGGCCCAGGGAGGUGGGCAACUACCACCCAGGGCCGGAAAGUUCUCCAAACUCGGUCAUUUAGAGGAAGUAAAAGUCGUAACAAGGUCUCCGUUGGUGAACCAGCGGAGGGAUCAUUACCAGAGUGCCCUAGGCUCUCCAACCCAUUGUGAACUUACCAAACGUUCCCUCGGCGGGCUCAGCGCGCGGUGGCCUCCGGGCCUCCGGGCGUCCGCCGGGGAAAACCAAACCCUGAUUUAAUCGUAUUUCUCUGAGGGGCGAAAGCCCGAAAACAAAAUGAAUCAAAACUUUCAACAACGGAUCUCUUGGCUCUGGCAUCGAUGAAGAACGCAGCGAAAUGCGAUAAGUAAUGUGAAUUGCAGAAUUCAGUGAAUCAUCGAAUCUUUGAACGCACAUUGCGCCCGCCGGCACUCCGGCGGGCAUGCCUGUCCGAGCGUCAUUUCAACCCUCAGGCCCACCCUUCCGGGGGAGCGGGCCUGGUUCUGGGGAUCGGCGGCCCUCGCGGCACCCGUCCCUCAAAUUCA
RNAcentral lists this ribosomal RNA (750 nucleotides) under Sarocladium strictum. RNAcentral describes it as "bacterial SSU rRNA". The stretch from base 1 to 345 matches the Rfam family "Eukaryotic small subunit ribosomal RNA", at positions 1485 to 1831 of the family's 1831-position model. The record is from RNAcentral. Lineage: Eukaryota; Fungi; Ascomycota; Sordariomycetes; Hypocreales; Sarocladiaceae.